RNAcentral lists this ribosomal RNA (244 nucleotides) under uncultured bacterium. Its description in RNAcentral is "partial 16S ribosomal RNA". It matches the Rfam family "Bacterial small subunit ribosomal RNA", at positions 333 to 591 of the family's 1533-position model. The record is from RNAcentral.
UAAUACCUACGGGAGGCAGCAGUGGGGAAUAUUGGGCAAUGGGCGCAAGCCUGACCCAGCAACGCCGCGUGAAGGAAGAAGGCUCUCGGGUUGUAAACUUCUUUUAUCAGGGACGAAGCAAGUGACGGUACCUGAUGAAUAAGCCACGGCUAACUACGUGCCAGCAGCCGCGGUAAUACGUAGGUGGCAAGCGUUAUCCGGAUUUACUGGGGGUAAAGGGCGUGUAGGCGGGAAAGCAAGUCAG